GUUGUGCCGGAUCGAGUUCUGCCAGCCGGCUUUGCUCUUCUUAUAAAAGGGGAAAUUGUCUGCCACAUACUGAUAGAUCUGGCUCAGGGUCAGCUUCUUCUCAUGCGCGUUCUGGAUGGCCAUGGCGAUGAGCGCAGAGUAGGAGUAGGGCGGCCGGACCAGCUUCAGGAGCUCCUCCUGACUGGCGAUGGACAGCCAGCCCAGGUCUGGCCCUCCAAAACCAGGCAGCAGCAACAAGUGUCAGAGAGGAUGGAGCAGUGAGGGGAGUUUUAAUAGUAUAAACCCUCAACAGCAGCCACAUCCAGGAGCAAGAUAACUCCCAGCAGCCAAUCCACACAGAGACAGCUGAAGAGAGACAGGAAAUGUGGGGAG
Notolabrus celidotus (New Zealand spotty) is the source of this 372-nucleotide long non-coding RNA. RefSeq lists it as uncharacterized. NCBI's taxonomy places the organism in Eukaryota, Metazoa, Chordata, Actinopteri, Labriformes, Labridae. The transcript has 3 exons. The record is from RefSeq and is a predicted model, not a curated record.